This 235-nucleotide ribosomal RNA is filed under the name uncultured bacterium. RNAcentral describes it as "partial 16S ribosomal RNA". It matches the Rfam family "Bacterial small subunit ribosomal RNA", at positions 120 to 354 of the family's 1533-position model. The record is from RNAcentral.
AGCAAUCUGCCUUGGAGUGGGGAAUAACGGUUGGAAACAGCCGCUAAUACCGCAUGAUGCGUCUGGGAGGCAUCUCUCUGGACGCCAAAGAUUUAUCGCUCUGAGAUGAGCUCGCGUCUGAUUAGCUAGUUGGCGGGGCAACGGCCCACCAAGGCGACGAUCAGUAGCCGGACUGAGAGGUUGGCCGGCCACAUUGGGACUGAGACACGGCCCAGACUCCUACGGGAGGCAGCAG